Molecule: ribosomal RNA, 678 nt
Filed under: uncultured bacterium
Lineage: Bacteria
Description: bacterial SSU rRNA
Rfam family: Bacterial small subunit ribosomal RNA
Source: RNAcentral
UGCAGUCGAACGGUAACAGGAAGAAGCUUGCUUCUUUGCUGACGAGUGGCGGACGGGUGAGUAAUGUCUGGGAAACUGCCUGAUGGAGGGGGAUAACUACUGGAAACGGUAGCUAAUACCGCAUAACGUCGCAAAACCAAAGAGGGGGACCUUCGGGCCUCUUGCCAUCGGAUGUGCCCAGAUGGGAUUAGCUAGUAGGUGGGGUAACGGCUCACCUAGGCGACGAUCCCUAGCUGGUCUGAGAGGAUGACCAGCCACACUGGAACUGAGACACGGUCCAGACUCCUACGGGAGGCAGCAGUGGGGAAUAUUGCACAAUGGGCGCAAGCCUGAUGCAGCCAUGCCGCGUGUAUGAAGAAGGCCUUCGGGUUGUAAAGUACUUUCAGCGGGGAGGAAGGGAGUAAAGUUAAUACCUUUGCUCAUUGACGUUACCCGCAGAAGAAGCACCGGCUAACUCCGUGCCAGCAGCCGCGGUAAUACGGAGGGUGCAAGCGUUAAUCGGAAUUACUGGGCGUAAAGCGCACGCAGGCGGUUUGUUAAGUCAGAUGUGAAAUCCCCGGGCUCAACCUGGGAACUGCAUCUGAUACUGGCAAGCUUGAGUCUCGUAGAGGGGGGUAGAAUUCCAGGUGUAGCGGUGAAAUGCGUAGAGAUCUGGAGGAAUACCGGUGGCGAAGGCGG